AUCCCGGAAAUGUUCCAUAUGUACAAAAAGCUUAUUUCUCUUAAAUUUGUUUACACCCCUGUUAGUGAGCAUUUCUCCUUUGACAGUAUAAUCCAUCCACCUGACAGGUGUGGCAUAUCAAGAAGCUGAAUAAACAGCAUGAUCAUUACACAGGUAAUGACAAUAAACGGCCACUCUAAAAUGUACAGUUUUUCCACACAACACAAUGCCACAGACAUCUCAAGUUUUGAGGGUGCGUGCAAUUGGCAUGCUGACUCCAGGAAUGUCCAACAGAACUGUUGCCACAGAAUGUAAUGUUAAUUUCUCUACCAUAAGCCGCCACCAACUUAAUUUUAGAGAAUUAGGCAGUACAUCCAACCGGCCUCAAAACCGCAGACCACGUGUAACCAUGUCAGCCCAGGACCUCCACAUCUGGCUUCUUCCCCUAUGGGAUCGUCUGAGGAGGGGGGGGUGCUGAGGAGUAUUUCUGUCUGUAAUAAAGCCCUUUUGUUGGGAAAAACUCAUUAUGAUUAGCUGGGCCUGGCUCCCCAGUAGGUGGACCUGGCUCCCUAGUGGGUGGGCCCAUGCCUUCCCAGGCCCACCCAUGGCUACGCCCCUGCCCAGUCAUAUGUUUGGUUCACUUCCUCAUCUAGUCGUAGGCUGUCAAAGACAAUCAUAUUAACAAAUGAAAUGCUUGUCCAUGAUCUGUUAUGCUAGAUGUUUAUUUGCUAUUUUUAUCUUCCUGUUCAGCCUGUUCUCUCUCUCCCCUGUUAUGUAACAGACUGGUUAACAUUGGUUUGUCUUCUUCCUUAAGACCAUAGGGAGUCAGGAUAUACUGAUUUAGAGUGUUGUACAAUGUGUUGCUAUAAGAAUGUCAGCUGUUUUAUACAAUGUGUUGCCAUAAGAAUGUCAGCUGUGUUAUACAAUGUGUUGCUAUAAGAUUGUCAGCUGUGUCAUACAAUGUGUUGCUAUAAGAUUGUCAGCUGUGUCAUACAAUGUGUUGCUAUAAGAAUGUCAGCUGUGUUAUAUGUUUUGCUUCCGUGUUGAUUUGUAGUGGGCAUCUACUGUAAGAACAAGCUAGAUGACUCUGAGGAGUGUCAACCCAACAUACACACGCACACACAGACACACGCAGACACAAAGAGAAACACAAACAUUCACAUACAGAACACUGGAUGGAACAUACCAUUUCCUGUUUAGAAUUCCGCAGCAGAACAUUUCGGAGUGGUGGUAGUGGUAGACGCAGCAGAGCAAGACCCUGGGAAGAGGCCGGUUGUCACCUUGGCCUUGGUACUGCUGUCCGGCUCAGGGUCAUGCCUGGGAACCUGUGGUGUCAGGAGCUCCUGUGGGAUCACAACUUGGAAUAUUAUGGGAAAAGCCCACAGGUUCCACUUUACAUAUUCCCACAGGAGACUGCUGACCUGCUACUGACCCCUCUGACAGCUAACAUCAAUCUGACAGUUAGAUCAGCAGAUGGAUGGCUGGAUGGAUGGAAGAAAAGAAGGACGUACAGUUGAAGUCGGAAGUUUACAUACACUUAUGUUGGAGUCAUUAAAACUUGUUUUUCAACCACUCCACAAAUUUCUUGUUUACAAACUAUAGUUUCGGCAAGUAGGUUAGGACUUUAGGUCAUGCACUUCUACUUUGUGCAUGACACAAGUAAUUUUUCCAACAAUUGUUUACAGACAGAUUAUUUCACUUAUAAUUCACUGUAUCACAAUUCCAGUGGGUCAGAAGUUUAC
Molecule: long non-coding RNA, 1721 nt
Organism: Oncorhynchus tshawytscha (Chinook salmon)
Lineage: Eukaryota; Metazoa; Chordata; Actinopteri; Salmoniformes; Salmonidae
Source: Ensembl